This 80-nucleotide small nuclear RNA is filed under the name Ancylostoma ceylanicum. Its description in RNAcentral is "SmY spliceosomal RNA". It matches the Rfam family "SmY spliceosomal RNA". Lineage: Eukaryota; Metazoa; Nematoda; Chromadorea; Rhabditida; Ancylostomatidae. The record is from Rfam by way of RNAcentral.
GAACUCUUGAAGCUCAAUGCAGGGCCUUCACUAAGACCCGGAUGUGGAAUUUUUGGGAACCCCUACGGGUUUAGGGGUUA